Molecule: long non-coding RNA, 527 nt
Filed under: Nicotiana benthamiana
Lineage: Eukaryota; Viridiplantae; Streptophyta; Magnoliopsida; Solanales; Solanaceae
Description: long non-coding RNA (NBEN_LNC037594)
Source: RNAcentral
CUCAAUCUUCUAAAGUAAACCACUAGGUCUCUGAUGCUCGUACUUUACCUGCUGACAAUUCAAAUAUCGAGAUAUAUACGCAACAAUAUCCUUCUUCAUCUUCCUUUACCAAUAAUAUUACCGCAAGUCAUGAUACAUAUUAUUAAUGCCUGUAUGAAUAGAAUACCGAGAACUAUGUGUCCACGCCUCCUUUUUCUAAAUGGGAAGUUUGAAAUCGGGUAUACAAUAUUAUAGGAGGAAAACUCUUAUUCCUUUGCGAGAAUUGGGUUUUAGAAUUUGGGAGAGUCGCCACCUAAUGAUUAUAGUGCAUUAGGACACUUUUAAAGAUGAAUUUGGGAUGAAGAACUAGAGUUUGAGUAAAGGCUAGAAAUUAUCUCGAGGGAAGGUGUUAGGCACCCCUCAAGAUCCACUAGCGUGGUUCCCGGCCGUACUACAAUUGUGACUUUAAACAAAGAUGAAGAAGCAAGUAGAGUUUUCACAUAAUCGUUACAAACAAGUUCAAGAAUUUAAAAAUAGAUAGGAGAAAC